CAAAGAACAAAGAUGGCAGCUGCUUUGUGGGGGAACAGAUUUGUGGCAAAUCGAGAUAAAAUAAAGAGGAAGGAGAAAGGAGUGUAUGGGAAAAAAUGCUGAGAAAAAGGGGCAAGUUGGGAAGGGGCGGGGGGGAGCAAGGCGGCUGUCAGCCUACAGAGCACUGUGCAGGAGGGAAAGCAGCGUGGGGGAAACAGAAAAGCUGGCGAACAUGAAAAAAACCAUUUCCAGGCUCCUGGAGUCAUGGGUGCAGAUAAGCAGAGACGUCGUGGCUAUGAGCCACUAUCUGGAGCACACGUUUGGGGAUGGAGGACAGUGCAGUGACUGCUGAUCCAAGCAGUGUUCCAGCGCCUUCAGGAGGUGGCAAGAGAAGACACAGGAGGCUGGGGACACAAGGGGUUGGAGUCACAAGAGAGCCUCUCAGGGCAGAUGGAAGGAGAACGCCUCCGCUGUGGUCAGUCCCUGAAGACAAAGUGGAUGCUGCUGGCACACUGGAAUGACGGCACGGGUUUGCUGACGGUUUUGCAUGGGAGCAUCGGUUGGGUUUACACCUACAAGUGCUUGGCUAUGGCAGCGGGGCAUCCCAUGGAAAGGCCAAAAAGCAGCAGAGAGAUCCAGGGAAGGAGGAGAUGGCACACGCUGCAAGCCUGUUCUCUGUCAGCGACGCUGCUGGGAGCACGGACACCCAUAGUGGAGCCAGCAGCUGAGGACAGCUCACAGGAGAGGAAAAAAAUGGAGCCAAGGAUGGCACUGUCUCUUUAAAAAUAAAUAAAUAGAU
Long non-coding RNA from Gallus gallus (chicken), 778 nucleotides. NCBI's taxonomy places the organism in Eukaryota, Metazoa, Chordata, Aves, Galliformes, Phasianidae. The record is from Ensembl.